Molecule: ribosomal RNA, 301 nt
Filed under: uncultured bacterium
Lineage: Bacteria
Description: partial 16S ribosomal RNA
Rfam family: Bacterial small subunit ribosomal RNA
Source: RNAcentral
CAGUCGCCGCGGUAAUACGUAGGUGGCAAGCGUUGUCCGGAAUUAUUGGGCGUAAAGGGCUCGCAAGCGGUUUCUUAGGUCUGAUGUGAAAGCCCCCGGCUCAACCGGGGAGGGUCAUUGGAAACUGGGAAACUUGAGUGCAGAAGAGGAGAGUGGAAUUCCACGUGUAGCGGUGAAAUGCGUAGAGAUGUGGAGGAACACCAGUGGCGAAGGCGACUCUCUGGUCUGUAACUGACGCUGAGGAGCGAAAGCGUGGGGAGCGAACAGGAUUAGAUACCCCAGUAGUCCCUGUCUCUUAUAC